CCGCUCAACAUAAUUGAUUAAUCUUUGUCUUAAUUAUUACAUGGGAUUCUCCAAUUAGGUGACUCCACAAAUCCUUCCACGUUAUCACCAAUCACACCCUUAGAUCCUUUCCUACUACCUUCAUCUUAAAUCCUGUGCACAUAUCUUUUCUCUCUAUCCAAGAUUGUGUUUUUAAUGAUGUUCUUCAUCAAUUAUAAUGUGUCAUUCAAUUAAAUAAAAAAAUUAGAAAAACAAAUUUUGUUAGUUAGAAUAAUUUAAUUG
This 261-nucleotide long non-coding RNA is filed under the name Lupinus angustifolius (narrow-leaved blue lupine). Its description in RNAcentral is "long non-coding RNA (LANG_LNC002178)". The record is from RNAcentral. Lineage: Eukaryota; Viridiplantae; Streptophyta; Magnoliopsida; Fabales; Fabaceae.